GACGAACGCUGGCGGCGUGCUUAACACAUGCAAGUCGAACGGAAAGGCCCUGCUUUUGUGGUGUGCUCGAGUGGCGAACGGGUGAGUAACACGUGAGUAACCUGCCCUUGACUUUGGGAUAACUUCAGGAAACUGGGGCUAAUACCGGAUAGGAGCUCCUGCUGCAUGGUGGGGGUUGGAAAGUUUCGGCGGUUGGGGAUGGACUCGCGGCUUAUCAGCUUGUUGGUGGGGUAGUGGCUUACCAAGGCUUUGACGGGUAGCCGGCCUGAGAGGGUGACCGGCCACAUUGGGACUGAGAUACGGCCCAGACUCCUACGGGAGGCAGCAGUGGGGAAUAUUGCACAAUGGGCGGAAGCCUGAUGCAGAAACGCAGCGUGCGGGAUGACGGCCUUCGGGUUGUAAACCGCUUUCGCCUGUGACGAGGCGUGAGUGACGGUAAUGGGUAAAGAAGCACCGGCUAACUACGUG
This 468-nucleotide ribosomal RNA is filed under the name uncultured bacterium. RNAcentral describes it as "partial 16S ribosomal RNA". It matches the Rfam family "Bacterial small subunit ribosomal RNA", at positions 28 to 507 of the family's 1533-position model. The record is from RNAcentral.